RNAcentral lists this long non-coding RNA (955 nucleotides) under Olea europaea subsp. europaea. Lineage: Eukaryota; Viridiplantae; Streptophyta; Magnoliopsida; Lamiales; Oleaceae. The record is from RNAcentral.
CAUAUAAUUAAAAAUUCUGUUCUUAUUUUUUCAGGGCCAGCCGCACGAUUGCUGAGAAGACGAUCUCAAAUGCUUACAAGUGGUUCCACGACAUCACCACUUCGGGGGCUUGGCUCGCCGACGAUGUAAGUGAAAUGAAAAUAUUGUUAUUUAUUAUGUACGUUCGAAAUCAAUUUUUUGAAUGAAAUUCGUAGAUUAACUCCUUUCUUUAUUGGUGUUUCUUUAUGUAGCACAUCGACUUGAGCAUGGAUUUGCUACGGGAUCGUGCUGAAAGACAUCCAAAAUCGUUCAACAUUCCUGGCAGACUCAUAUUGAACACCGAGUUCAUCCGUGCCGUUGACAUUGAGUACCAGUCGUUCCAGGCUAUGGGUAGCGAGUACACGGUGCCGGAAUAUAUGAUGGAAUGGGUCGUAGGGAUGUGGCCGAGUGUCGGUGGGAAGCCAUGGGAUGGCUGUACGCAUAUGUACGUACCAGUAUGUCUGAAUCAUCACUACAUUGCAGUGGAAAUCGUAUUCGCCGACUCCACGAUGUAUGUGUACGACCCCGAUCAUUCAUGCCUGACACAAGGCCAGCUCGAGCAAAAUCUAGAGUCGCUGUCUGUGAUCGUUCCCAUGAUGGCUAGACGAGCGAACAUCAAUGUACAAGACAGAUUGGCCACCGUGCGGAACACGACGACGACGAGGCAACAAAUAUCGUAAGUGUUUGUAAUUUUCUUUCUGUCAUUUACAUCUUAGUUUCUAACUAAUUUUCGAUGUGCUAAUACAACACUGUUUAAUUGCAGGGGUGAUUGCGGCAUAUUCGUCAUCAAGUACAUAGAAUUUUUGAGUGUGGCACAUAAGGUUGAUGCAAUCAACCAGGCAUGGAUACAAAAUUGGAGAAAUAAACUAGCAUGUGAUUUAUUUGAAUUUAAUGGGGAUCCGUAAAUAAUUGUACAUAUUUUUACAUUUAUUUAAAC